Molecule: ribosomal RNA, 497 nt
Filed under: uncultured bacterium
Lineage: Bacteria
Description: partial 16S ribosomal RNA
Rfam family: Bacterial small subunit ribosomal RNA
Source: RNAcentral
GAUGAACGCUGGCGGCGUGCCUAAUACAUGCAAGUCGAGCGAACGGACGAGAAGUUUGCUUUUCUGAUGUUAGCGGCGGACGGGUGAGUAACACGUGGAUAACCUACCUAUAAGACUGGGAUAACUUCGGGAAACCGGAGCUAAUACCGGAUAAUAUUUUGAACCGCAUGGUUCAAAAGUGAAAGACGGUCUUGCUGUCACUUAUAGAUGGAUCCGCGCUGCAUUAGCUAGUUGGUAAGGUAACGGCUUACCAAGGCAACGAUGCAUAGCCGACCUGAGAGGGUGAUCGGCCACACUGGAACUGAGACACGGUCCAGACUCCUACGGGAGGCAGCAGUAGGGAAUCUUCCGCAAUGGGCGAAAGCCUGACGGAGCAACGCCGCGUGAGUGAUGAAGGUCUUCGGAUCGUAAAACUCUGUUAUUAGGGAAGAACAUAUGUGUAAGUAACUGUGCACAUCUUGACGGUACCUAAUCAGAAAGCCACGGCUAACUACGUG